GACGAACGCUGGCGGCGCGCCUAACACAUGCAAGUCGAACGAGCGAGAGAGAGCUUGCUUUCUCGAGCGAGUGGCGAACGGGUGAGUAACGCGUGAGGAACCUGCCUCAAAGAGGGGGACAACAGUUGGAAACGACUGCUAAUACCGCAUAAGCCCACGGGUCGGCAUCGACCAGAGGGAAAAGGAGCAAUCCGCUUUGAGAUGGCCUCGCGUCCGAUUAGCUAGUUGGUGAGGUAACGGCCCACCAAGGCGACGAUCGGUAGCCGGACUGAGAGGUUGAACGGCCACAUUGGGACUGAGACACGGCCCAGACUCCUACGGGAGGCAGCAGUGGGGAAUAUUGCACAAUGGGGGAAACCCUGAUGCAGCGACGCCGCGUGGAGGAAGAAGGUCUUCGGAUUGUAAACUCCUGUUGUUGAGGAAGAUAAUGACGGUACUCAACAAGGAAGUGACGGCUAACUACGUGCCAGCAGCCGCGGUAAAACGUAGGUCACAAGCGUUGUCCGGAAUUACUGGGUGUAAAGGGAGCGCAGGCGGGAAGACAAGUUGGAAGUGAAAUCUAUGGGCUCAACCCAUAAACUGCUUUCAAAACUGUUUUUCUUGAGUAGUGCAGAGGUAGGCGGAAUUCCCGGUGUAGCGGUGGAAUGCGUAGAUAUCGGGAGGAACACCAGUGGCGAAGGCGGCCUACUGGGCACCAACUGACGCUGAGGCUCGAAAGUGUGGGUAGCAAACAGGAUUAGAUUCCCUGGUAGUCCACACCGUAAACGAUGAUUACUAGGUGUUGGAGGAUUGACCCCUUCAGUGCCGCAGUUAACACAAUAAGUAAUCCACCUGGGGAGUACGACCGCAAGGUUGAAACUCAAAGGAAUUGACGGGGGCCCGCGCAAGCAGUGGAGUAUGUGGUUUAAUUCGACGCAACGCGAAGAACCUUACCAAGUCUUGACAUCCCUUGACGAACAUAGAAAUAUGUUUUCUCUUCGGAGCAAGGAGACAGGUGGUGCAUGGUUGUCGUCAGCUCGUGUCGUGAGAUGUUGGGUUAAGUCCCGCAACGAGCGCAACCCUUACUGUCAGUUACUACGCAAGAGGACUCUGGCAGGACUGCCGUUGACAAAACGGAGGAAGGUGGGGAUGACGUCAAAUCAUCAUGCCCUUUAUGACUUGGGCUACACACGUACUACAAUGGCGUUAAACAAAGAGAAGCAAGACCGCGAGGUGGAGCAAAACUCAGAAACAACGUCCCAGUUCGGACUGCAGGCUGCAACUCGCCUGCACGAAGUCGGAAUUGCUAGUAAUCGUGGAUCAGCAUGCCACGGUGAAUACGUUCCCGGGCCUU
This 1333-nucleotide ribosomal RNA is filed under the name uncultured bacterium. RNAcentral's name for it is "bacterial SSU rRNA". It matches the Rfam family "Bacterial small subunit ribosomal RNA", at positions 28 to 1382 of the family's 1533-position model. The record is from RNAcentral.